UACGUAGGUGGCAAGCGUUGUCCGGAUUUAUUGGGUUUAAAGGGUGCGUAGGCGGUGUCCUAAGUCAGUUGUGAAAUACGGCAGCUUAACUGUCGAGGUGCAAUUGAUACUGGGAUACUUGAGUACUGAUGAGGUAUGCGGAAUGGACGGUGUAGCGGUGAAAUGCUUAGAUAUCGUCCAGAACACCGAUAGCGAAGGCAGCAUACUAAGGAGUAACUGACGCUGAGGCGCGAAAGCGUGGGGAGCAAACAGG
This 253-nucleotide ribosomal RNA is filed under the name uncultured bacterium. Its description in RNAcentral is "partial 16S ribosomal RNA". It matches the Rfam family "Bacterial small subunit ribosomal RNA", at positions 524 to 776 of the family's 1533-position model. The record is from RNAcentral.